Molecule: long non-coding RNA, 603 nt
Organism: Haplochromis burtoni (Burton's mouthbrooder)
Lineage: Eukaryota; Metazoa; Chordata; Actinopteri; Cichliformes; Cichlidae
Exons: 3
Source: RefSeq, a predicted model, not a curated record
UUUAAAAAAUCAUUUUGUUUCUUAUGUUUUCAGGCAAAGACCAAAGAACACGAAGAAGAAUUAGAGCGUCAUGCCCAAUUCUUGUUGGUGAACUUUAAUCAUACCCACAAGAGGAUCCGCAGAGUAGCAGACAAAUACCUCUCUGGUUUGGCUGAGACAUUCCCUCAUCUACUCUGGAGCGGUCGUGUGUUAAAGACCAUGUUGGACAUUCUGCAGACACUCUCUCUGUCACUAAGUGCUGACAUUCAUAAGGACCAGCCAUACUAUGACAUUCCCGACACCCCAUACAGGAUCACUGUUCCUGACACAUAUGAAGCCAGAGAGGUGAGUUUGGGCUGUUAUUACACUUCUGACCACUAGAGGACAGCACAGUAUGGGCUUCAACAAUAGUAGGGAGAGAGUUCUUUUUUAUCAUAUCAAGUGUAAACUGUAUUUUAAUGGUGGACUGAGGUUUGGGCUCUUAAAAAAUGUAGAAAUUAAAUAAACAAAUGGCAUUUGGUUUGUGCUAGAAUUAAUUUUACUCAGUGAAUGCCCGCCACUCUUUUUGCCAUCAGAAUUAUUGUCUAAAGGCAAAGAAAGAUGCCCAGCGGAUUUACUUUACCA